AGAUUGAACGCUAGCGGGAUGCUUUACACAUGCAAGUCGAACGGCAGCGCGGACUUCGGUCUGGCGGCGAGUGGCGAACGGGUGAGUAAUAUAUCGGAACGUGCCCAGUAGCGGGGGAUAACUACGCGAAAGCGUGGCUAAUACCGCAUACGCCCUACGGGGGAAAGGGGGGAUCGCAAGACCUCUCACUAUUGGAGCGGCCGAUAUCAGAUUAGCUAGUUGGUGAGGUAAAGGCUCACCAAGGCGACGAUCUGUAGCUGGUUUGAGAGGACGACCAGCCACACUGGGACUGAGACACGGCCCAGACUCCUACGGGAGGCAGCAGUGGGAAUUUGGACAAUGGGGGAAACCCUGAUCCAGCCAUCCCGCGUGUGCGAGUGAACGGU
RNAcentral lists this ribosomal RNA (386 nucleotides) under uncultured soil bacterium. RNAcentral's name for it is "bacterial SSU rRNA". It matches the Rfam family "Bacterial small subunit ribosomal RNA", at positions 26 to 416 of the family's 1533-position model. The record is from RNAcentral.